UCAAAAACAUGUCUGUGUGAAAUAGUUAUAUAGUCUAGCCUGCCCACUGAAUUAUUUAAAGGGCCGCGGUAAUUUGACCGUGCGAAGGUAGCAUAGUCAUUAGUCUUUUAAUUGAAGGCUUGAAUGAAUGGUUGGACGAAAGAUAAGCUGUCUUUUAUAUGUAGUUUGAAUUUAACUUUUAAGUGAAAAGGCUUAAAUUAAUUAAAGGGACGAUAAGACCCUAUAAAACUUUAUAUAAAUUUGAUUUUAUUUAUGAUUUAGGUAAAGAAUAAUUUAGUUUGAUUUAUAUUUCGUUGGGGAGAUGUAGAUAUAAAAUGUAACUGUCUAUAAAAUUUAAUAAUUAUUAUUAGUAAUUGAUCCUUCUUUGUGGAUUGAAAGAAUAAGUUACUUUAGGGAUAACAGCGUAAUUUUCUUUGAGAGUUCUUAUCGACAAGAGUAGUUGCGACCUCGAUGUUGAAUUAAAAUUUUAACUAGGUGUAGCCGUUUAGUUGGUAGGUCUGUUCGACCUUUAAAAUUUUACAUGAUUUGAGUUCAAACCGGUGUGAGCCAGGUUG
This 554-nucleotide ribosomal RNA is filed under the name Macrobrachium potiuna. RNAcentral's name for it is "partial 16S ribosomal RNA". It matches the Rfam family "Bacterial large subunit ribosomal RNA", at positions 1807 to 2633 of the family's 2925-position model. The record is from RNAcentral. Lineage: Eukaryota; Metazoa; Arthropoda; Malacostraca; Decapoda; Palaemonidae.